AUCCAGCCGACGAGUCCCGAAUAGGACGAAACGCGCGUCAAACUGGAU
Molecule: non-coding RNA, 48 nt
Organism: Schistosoma mansoni
Lineage: Eukaryota; Metazoa; Platyhelminthes; Trematoda; Strigeidida; Schistosomatidae
Source: Rfam